GCAUGGAUUAGGCAUGCAAGUCGAGCGCGAAAACUUGAGUUUUAAUUCCUUCGGGAUGAGAGACUCUGUGAGUAGAGCGGCAAAAGGGUGAGUAAUACAUGGGUGAUGUGCCCUUGACUCCGGCAUAGCUUCGGGAAGCUGAAGGUAAUUCCGGAUAGUCCUACUGGAUUUCAUGGUCUUGUAGGUAAAGGUGGGGAUCCUUCGGGACCCACAGGUCAGGGAGCGGCUCAUGCGCUAUCAGCUUGUUGGUGAGGUAACGGCUCACCAAGGCUACGACGGCUAGGCGGUCUGAGAGGAUGACCGCCCACAUCGGGACUGAGACACUGCCCGGACUCCUACGGGAGGCUGCAGUCGAGAAUCAUCCGCAAUGGGCGAAAGCCUGACGGUGCGACGCCGCGUGAGGGACGAAGGCUCUAGGGUUGUAAACCUCUUUCGCCUGUUAAGAAUGUGCUGGUGUUAAUAGCAUUAGUGCUGACAAAGGCAGGUAAAGAAGCACCGGCUAACUCCGUGCCAGCAGCCGCGGUAAGACGGAGGGUGCAAGCGUUACUCGGAAUUACUGGGCGUAAAGGGUCCGUAGGCGGCCUGGAAAGUUGGAUGUGAAAUCCCACAGCUUAACUGUGGAACUGCGUCCAAAACUAUCAGGCUAGAGGAUGGUAGGGGACAGUGGAACUCAAGGUGGAGCGGUGAAAUGCGUAGAGAUCUUGAGGAACGCCGGUGGCGAAAGCGACUGUCUGGGCCAUUCCUGACGCUGAGGGACGAAAGCUAGGGGAGCGAACGGGAUUAGAUACCCCGGUAGUCCUAGCUGUAAACGAUGACCACUAGGUUGGGGGACUUUCGAGUGUCCCUUCCGUAGCUAACGCGUUAAGUGGUCCGCCUGGGGAGUAUGCGCGCAAGCGUAAAACUCAAAGGAAUUGACGGGGGCUCACACAAGCGGUGG
RNAcentral lists this ribosomal RNA (937 nucleotides) under uncultured bacterium. Its description in RNAcentral is "bacterial SSU rRNA". It matches the Rfam family "Bacterial small subunit ribosomal RNA", at positions 42 to 935 of the family's 1533-position model. The record is from RNAcentral.